Molecule: ribosomal RNA, 273 nt
Filed under: uncultured bacterium
Lineage: Bacteria
Description: partial 16S ribosomal RNA
Rfam family: Bacterial small subunit ribosomal RNA
Source: RNAcentral
GAGUUUGAUCGUGGCUCAGGAUGAACGCUGGCGGCGUGCUUAACACAUGCAAGUCGAACGAAGCACCUUGGACAGAUUCUUCGGAUGAAGUCUUUGGCGACUGAGUGGCGGACGGGUGAGUAACGCGUGGGUAACCUGCCUCAUACAGGGGGAUAACAGUUAGAAAUGACUGCUAAUACCGCAUAAGACCACAGUACCGCAUGGUACAGGGGUAAAAACUCCGGUGGUAUGAGAUGGACCCCGCGUCUGAUUAGCUGGUUGGUGGGUAACGGC